Non-coding RNA from Bactrocera oleae (olive fruit fly), 1116 nucleotides. The record is from RefSeq and is a predicted model, not a curated record. NCBI's taxonomy places the organism in Eukaryota, Metazoa, Arthropoda, Insecta, Diptera, Tephritidae.
AGACUGUGAUUUUGAGUUAUUUUAAGAAUAUUUCAAAUAUAUUCAAGCUAAUUUUUUAAUUACUACAAAAUAUCGAGAUUAGCAACCUUGCGUUGCAAGAGAUUGCUCUCUCACUCUCAGCUCUCUCGUUUCUACGGAAAAAAUCCAAUUUUCGCGGAUAUCCUACCGUACGGCCUGUUGAAGCGGACGGUAAAAGCGGUGGUGACUGUUCAUUUACAUUGCGCUCUCAUAAGAGAGCUGAUUCGGUCGACGGUUUUGCGUCGGUGACUGUUUGUGCCAUUAUGUGAAUUUAUUUAGUCAGCGCUCAGGCAGCGUGUGUAGUCAUAGUCACAUACAUAAAGUUGUAUGUAAUAAAAUUGUGCAUUUAUAUUUUAUGCAGACAAUAAAUUUACUUGCUUGCUAGCACACACUGUUAAGUUUUAUUGUUCACGAUGCGCACCGGGAUAUGUCCAACAACGUCAAGUGCAGAACGCGUUUUUGCCAGCUGUUGUUUGUUGCUGCUUCUGCUACGUCAUCUAUCAUCCGAAACGAAAUCGCAAAAAAACUCGUAAAAUAGAAUAAAAUAAAUUUUGUAUGAACUCAGUGUUAAUUAUAAGAGUAGUAUAGACCCACCCUUACCAUUAGUUUCAGUUUCUGCUGAAAAGUUUAUUACGAAUUAAUUAUGAUAAAUUUUCUGUAAUCUAAAUUUUCUAAUCUUUACAGGGCUUUGGUGUGAAUAAUAUAUGAGGUUAAAUAAUCGGGAAAAUUGCUAUUAAACAACAAAUGUGUAUUCUUGUGACAAAGUAUCUUCACUCGAGCGUAGCCCCUUUGGUGUAUAUAAAACACUUCGUAUUUUGAAGAGCCAAGCGUUAAAAGGGAGUGUCAAGUUCGGGUAGAAUCAUACAUAAUAAAUUGGUGUUUGUAGUGGCCAUAGAUUUAUCCAUGGUAGUGGCAUCGCGGACUCGAUAGACAUGUGUCGAUUGGCCUAGAAAAUAUGUACUGUAAGACUGGGUUCACAUGAGGACACCUUUGUCGUCCAAAUUGAUUUUUGUAAACGAGAGGAUGCUCCUUUUGACAUUAUUUUCAUGAUUGAAAUAGCGCUCAGUUUUAAAUAAAUAUUUAUAUUUUGUUUGAAAA